AUCCAACCGACGAGUCCCAGACAGGACGAAAUGCGCAUCCUGGCUGGAU
Molecule: non-coding RNA, 49 nt
Organism: Trichobilharzia regenti
Lineage: Eukaryota; Metazoa; Platyhelminthes; Trematoda; Strigeidida; Schistosomatidae
Source: Rfam